UACGGAGGGUGCAAGCGUUAAUCGGAAUUACUGGGCGUAAAGCGCACGCAGGCGGUUUAUUAAGUCAGAUGUGAAAGCCCCGGGCUCAACCUGGGAAUUGCAUCUGAUACUGGUUGGCUAGAGUCUUGUAGAGGGGGGUAGAAUUCCAGGUGUAGCGGUGAAAUGCGUAGAGAUGUGGAGGAAUACCAGUGGCGAAGGCGGCCCCCUGGACCAAGACUGACGCUCAGGUGCGAAAGCGUGGGGAGCAAACAGG
RNAcentral lists this ribosomal RNA (253 nucleotides) under uncultured bacterium. RNAcentral describes it as "partial 16S ribosomal RNA". It matches the Rfam family "Bacterial small subunit ribosomal RNA", at positions 524 to 776 of the family's 1533-position model. The record is from RNAcentral.